Non-coding RNA from Camelina sativa (false flax), 1507 nucleotides. The record is from RefSeq and is a predicted model, not a curated record. Lineage: Eukaryota; Viridiplantae; Streptophyta; Magnoliopsida; Brassicales; Brassicaceae.
GGAUCUUCUUGCAGGGCCGUAUAUACAAAGGUAAAGAGCCUCCCCAAUUUGUUGCCCUUUUUCAACCUACGGUGGUCCUAAAGGGUGGUUUGAGCUCUAGGUACAGAAACAGUGUGGGAGAGACAAGGUCGACAGACGAAACUUACACGCCAGAAUCAAUUGCACUUAUUCAAGUAUCUAGAACUGGAGUUCACAUAAUAAUGGUGGCAACAUUUUUAAACUCUUAUGAAUGCUCCUUCUGCAGUCUGGUACUUCCAUGUUCCUAUGGCAUGGAAAUCAAAGUGUGCAUGAACAGCUGAAACUGGCUGCUAAAGUUGCUGAGUUCUUGAAGUGAGAGGAUUUGUGGGAGACUAUGUGAUUCUUUGAUGGCAUUUUGGUGACUUCUAGUGCACAACAGGAUUAACUGAACGAGAAACAUGGGGGAAAUUAUCAUGCAUUUGGGAAGAUGCUGGAUGUAUGGGACAUUCAGCCUCUUUGCAAGCAGGUAUAUAUUGGUAUUCUAUUAUUUUUUAUAACUUUUAUACAUGCUAUGACUCGUGAUCAUAAAUCUGAUAUGUUUCUCAAAUCAUGACAUGACAUCUUCUGUGGCAGUGGUCUGUGAUCUUAUCUUAAGUGCAUGUUUUUUUCCUCUGCUUUCAAUAAUAUUAUAGUGUUGGUGCUUGCGUUAUAUUAUAGUGUUGUUACUUGCGUUUUAAUUGUUGUAGUACUAGUAUUAGUUGUGGUAGCUUGCGUUUUGAUUGAUCAUAAAUCUGAUAUACAUGCCAUGAUCGUGAUUAUAAAUCUGAUGUUUCUCAAAUCAUAAUAUCUUCUGUGGCAGUGGUCUGUGAUCUCAUCUUAAGUACCUGUUUUUUUUCCUCCGCUUUCAAUAAUAUCAUCGUGUUGUUGCUGCGUUUUGAUUGAUCAUAGUGUAUCAUUAUGUUGUUACUUGCGUUUUAACUAUUGUAGUACUAGAUUAGUUGUGGUUGCUUGCGUUUUGAUUGAUCAUAAAAAUCUGAUAUACAUGUCAUGAUCACGAUCAUAAAUCUGAUAUGUUUCUCAAAUCAUGACAUCUUCUGUGGCAGUGGUCUGUGAUCUUAUCUUAAGUACAUGUUUUUUCCCUUCCUCCCCUUUUCAAUAAAUAUCAUAGUGUUGUUCUCACGUUUUUAUUGAUCAUAGUGUAUCAUUGUGUUGCUACUUGCGUUUUAAUUAUUGUAGUACUAGAACUAGUUGUGAUUGCUUGCGUUUUGAUUGAUUAUAAAUCUAAUAUGUUUCUCAAAUCAUGUCAUCUUCUGUGGCAGUGGUAUGUGAUUUCAUCUUUAAGUACAUGUUUUUUGUUUCCUCCGUUUUCAAUAGUAUCAUCGUGUUGGUGCUUCCGUUUUGAUUGAUCAUAGUGUAUCUUGUUAGUUGCAUUUUAAUUGCUGUAGUACUAUAAUUAGUUGUGGUUGCUUGGUUUUUGAUUGAUAUAGUGUUGUUGCUUGCAUUUUUGAUUGAUCAUAAUGCAAACAUUUUGUGGAAAUUUUCAACAUUA